GUUGCCCUUCCCGGGAUCCCUAAAGGGAGAGUGACCCUGCCGGCCUUGGGGUCUUGGGUGCGAGCCGAGGACGCUAAACCAGCAGCGGUGGUGGAAAUGCCCUUUUCGGGGUCAACUAUCGCCCAGAUGGCCUUCCAUGUGAGAAACCCUUGGCUGGUUGAAGCUUCCUGACACACAACUCAGCUUUGCCAUUCAGGAAUAUAUCACUGAGCUCCCUCUGCCUCAAGGUCAAAAAUUCCAGGUGCACUUGAUGGACUUAUACUGGCUCAGAUUAGUUUAUCCACAGAUCAUGACAGAAUGAAAGAAUGCACAACAGGAAGAAGUCCUGAGAAACUCAAGGAAUCUGAAGUAAACAUGAUAGAUAAUCCACCUUUUUCACCAGUUGGGAAGCAGGUGAUGAUUGAUGCAUGCAGAUUUGAUCAGCCUCUCAGUGCUGGUUUCUGAGGAGAGACCGGCUAAGAAAGGUGUGUGGACAAAAAAAAAAAAGCGGACUCUGUGGAAAGUGACCUCAGAGUGAUCUGAUCAUAAAUUCCUCACCGGGCAGGUCAUGGUGGGUAGUCACGCCCCAGGACUGUAACUUCUUUUCUGAAAUGUGUUAAGCCAGCCCUAUCCAUUGUUCUUGUGCAUCUAGCUAGGUUAACACACCUUUGAAAUACCAGAAUACCCCUUAAAGGAGGUAUUAACCCUCAAGAGAAUACAUAAUUUUAUAAACUAUCCUGUAAUCCAAUCCCACUUCAUUUUCUUCAAUCUUCCUUAUGUCCCCUCCUUAAUUUCAAUAAAGAAUCUGUAACACUAUUAUUCUCUGGAGCAUUUGAGAUCUUGCUCCCCGGCACGUGUCAUCAGUUUGGCUCAAAUAAACUCAUAAGAAUUCUCUACAUGUUUGUUUCUUACAUCAACAGGAAGGACUUUGGAAAUAGUAGCUGGUAAGGAUGGAUCAGGAUGGAGACUUGGUCCUGGAAGUAUCUCACGGUCAAAGCAAAGCCAGCCUCAAUUGUACGUUAGGUAUCAGUCUUUGGAAGGGCAAGCUGAUCCUGGAAAACACAAAUAAAUUACACUGUCGUUUUUGAUUUGGUCGUUACUUGUCUAAUUUUUGUUUUCUUUCUGUAUGUGUAG
Rhinolophus ferrumequinum (greater horseshoe bat) is the source of this 1113-nucleotide long non-coding RNA. RefSeq lists it as uncharacterized. The transcript is spliced from 3 exons. The record is from RefSeq and is a predicted model, not a curated record. NCBI's taxonomy places the organism in Eukaryota, Metazoa, Chordata, Mammalia, Chiroptera, Rhinolophidae.